RNAcentral lists this transfer RNA (63 nucleotides) under Ornithodoros hermsi. RNAcentral describes it as "tRNA-Cys". The record is from RNAcentral. Lineage: Eukaryota; Metazoa; Arthropoda; Arachnida; Ixodida; Argasidae.
AGUUUUAUAUUUUUAAAAAAAUUAUUAAAUUGCAAGUUUAAAGAUGGUAUUUGCCUAAGACUU